Molecule: long non-coding RNA, 518 nt
Organism: Columba livia (rock pigeon)
Lineage: Eukaryota; Metazoa; Chordata; Aves; Columbiformes; Columbidae
Exons: 3
Source: RefSeq, a predicted model, not a curated record
GGAAAACACCUUACUACCAACUCUCUCUCUUCUUUAAGAACUGAUUGCCACCCACCACUACUCUGAGGGCUGGUCCUGCCUUCCAUCCUGAGUGGCUUAUGGGUCCAUUUAACCUAGGCUGGGGGCAGCAGGACUCUUUUAUUCUUUUCUGGUGGAAAGGGCCCAGGAAUGACGCUGGGAGAGGCUGGUGUGAGACCCCAGGAGCCUGAAUGCAGCAGACUUUAGAUUGGUGUGUAAUGUGCUGCUCUCAAACAAAGAGGAUAACAUGACUCAUGACAGGUCAAUAUAUACAGUCUGAGUAAACACACAACAUAUGGAAACUGGAAGAGUGUUGACCAGGACAGAAGUUGGCCAACUUUUACAUCCCUGACGUUGCUCAUGUUUAUCUCAGUAUUGAUGUACAACAGUUCUAUUUCUUUUUUAAUUUAAAGUCAUGAUAUUUUCCCAAUUUGUGCCAGUCUAUUCAACAUGAAUAAACAGGACUUGCAUUAAGAGCACAUUAUGAGGAUGGAUGUAAA